RNAcentral lists this ribosomal RNA (485 nucleotides) under uncultured bacterium. Its description in RNAcentral is "partial 16S ribosomal RNA". It matches the Rfam family "Bacterial small subunit ribosomal RNA", at positions 29 to 507 of the family's 1533-position model. The record is from RNAcentral.
AUUGAACGCUGGCGGCAUGCCUUACACAUGCAAGUCGAACGGCAGCACGGGUGCUUGCCCCUGGUGGCGAGUGGCGAACGGGUGAGUAAUACAUCGGAACAUGUCCUGUAGUGGGGGAUAGCCCGGCGAAAGCCGGAUUAAUACCGCAUACGAUCUACGGAUGAAAGCGGGGGACCUUCGGGCCUCGCGCUAUAGGGUUGGCCGAUGGCUGAUUGGCUAGUUGGUGGGGUAAAGGCCUACCAAGGCGACGAUCAGUAGCUGGUCUGAGAGGACGACCAGCAACACGGGACCUGAACAAGGCCCAAGCCUCCAAGGGAGGGAGGCGUGGGGAAAUUUUGACCAAUGGCGGAAGCCCUAUCCCAGAAAGGCGGGGGGUGUAAAGAAGCCUUCGGGUUUGAAAGGCACUUUGGCCGGGAAGAAAUUCCUGGCCCUAAUACGGUCGGGGGAUGACGGUACCGGAAGAAUAAGCACCGGCUAACUACGUG